Molecule: transfer RNA, 87 nt
Filed under: Pseudobdellovibrionaceae bacterium
Lineage: Bacteria; Pseudomonadati; Bdellovibrionota; Bdellovibrionia; Bdellovibrionales; Pseudobdellovibrionaceae
Also listed under: 2 other names
Description: Bdellovibrionaceae bacterium (activated sludge metagenome) tRNA-Leu
Rfam family: tRNA
About the family: Transfer RNA (tRNA) molecules are approximately 80 nucleotides in length. Their secondary structure includes four short double-helical elements and three loops (D, anti-codon, and T loops). Further hydrogen bonds mediate the characteristic L-shaped molecular structure. tRNAs have two regions of fundamental functional importance: the anti-codon, which is responsible for specific mRNA codon recognition, and the 3' end, to which the tRNAs corresponding amino acid is attached (by aminoacyl-tRNA synthetases). tRNAs cope with the degeneracy of the genetic code in two manners: having more than one tRNA (with a specific anti-codon) for a particular amino acid; and 'wobble' base-pairing, i.e. permitting non-standard base-pairing at the 3rd anti-codon position.
Source: RNAcentral
GGCUCUGUGGUGGAAUUGGUAGACGCGCUGGACUCAAAAUCCAGUGUCCGCAAGGACGUGAGAGUUCGAUUCUCUCCGGAGCCACCA